Molecule: ribosomal RNA, 253 nt
Filed under: uncultured bacterium
Lineage: Bacteria
Description: partial 16S ribosomal RNA
Rfam family: Bacterial small subunit ribosomal RNA
Source: RNAcentral
UACGGAGGGUCCAAGCGUUAUCCGGAUUUAUUGGGUUUAAAGGGUCCGCAGGCGGAAAAAUAAGUCAGUGGUGAAAGCCUAUCGCUUAACGAUAGAACUGCCAUUGAUACUGUUUUUCUUGAGUAUACUUGAAGUGGGCGGAAUGUGUCAUGUAGCGGUGAAAUGCAUAGAUAUGACACAGAACACCGAUUGCGAAGGCAGCUCACUAAAUUAUAACUGACGCUCAUGGACGAAAGCGUGGGGAGCAAACAGG